UUUGGGAAGAGAUGUUCUUAGGAAGAAUUGCUCUUGAAAGCCCACGGCCUUCUUUCACUCGCUAUCUUCACUGCAAGCAACUAAAUGAUAUUGGAACUUCAAAAUGGAAGAGAGAAAUUCAAAAGACUGCCAUUUAAAGUGGAUCCACUUGCCAUAAGUAUUUCUCCAUGCUGAUGGGAGUCUUAAAAUGCUGUUUCUCGCCAUUAAGAGACAAUACUUCAAACAUUGUAACUCCAGGAGAAGGAAAUCAUUUUCAGCCCACUUUUACAAAAGAAGAAACUGAGGCUCAGAUGGUUUAAGUGACUUUCCCAAGUGUACCCAGAUAACAGCAGAGUUAGAAUCAAACUACCAUCUUCUGAGUCCAUAAAUUUCUCAGGAAUAUAGUCUAUGUUUAAUUUUAUUAAAUUAAUUGUAAACAGUAUGAAUUCCUUGAGAAGAGGUCUAAAGUUUGUUUUGUACAUACCAAAGAAUUAUAAUAGUAACGAUAACAACAACAAGAACAUAGCUAACAUGUAUUGACUGCUUACAACUUACAGACACUGUUCUAAGGGUUUAUAUGUAUUUACCUAUUUGGUCUUCACAAUAACUCUAUGAAAAAGGUGCCAUUAUUAUGCUUAUUUUAUACAUGAGAAAAAUGAAGUGCUGAAAGGUGAAGUAACUUAUCUAAGGCCACGCAGUAACAGUAAAGCUGAGGUCUAGC
RNAcentral lists this long non-coding RNA (700 nucleotides) under Equus caballus (horse). RNAcentral describes it as "lncRNA (ENSECAG00000040758.2)". Lineage: Eukaryota; Metazoa; Chordata; Mammalia; Perissodactyla; Equidae. The record is from RNAcentral.